AAUCGUCAAACACGGGUUGUUGCUGGCCUCCAAACGGGGGCACGUGCACGCUCUGUUUACGCAUCCACUCACACCUGUGCACCCUCUGUAGUCCUAUGGUUCGGAAGACCCCGUCUUCCUUCUGUAGCUCUACGUCUUUACACACACGCCGUAGCGAUGUCUCAUGGAAUGUUUUUAUGCGUUUAACGCGAUACAAUACAACUUUCAGCAACGGAUCUCUUGGCUCUCGCAUCGAUGAAGAACGCAGCGAAAUGCGAUAAGUAAUGUGAAUUGCAGAAUUCAGUGAAUCAUCGAAUCUUUGAACGCACCUUGCGCCCCUUGGUUAUUCCUUGGAGCAUGCCUGUUUGAGUAUCAUGAACACCUCAACUCUCRUGGUCUUCCAUGAUGAGCUUGGACUUUGGAGGUUUGCUGGCCCUGYGGCCGGCUCCUCUCAAAUGAAUCAGCCUGCCAGUGUUUGGUGGCAUCACGGGUGUGAUAACUAUCUACGCUCGYGGUCGUCUGCCAGGUAACCCUCAGCGAUGAGGGUUCAUUGGAGCUCAUAAACGUCUCUCCUYGGCGAGGACAACUUUUCAACGUUCGAUCUCAAAUCAGGUAGGAUUACCCGCUGAACUUAAGCAUAUCAAUA
RNAcentral lists this ribosomal RNA (625 nucleotides) under Tomentella ellisii. RNAcentral describes it as "eukaryotic LSU rRNA". The record is from RNAcentral. Lineage: Eukaryota; Fungi; Basidiomycota; Agaricomycetes; Thelephorales; Thelephoraceae.